GGUAGCUUGCUACCAGGCGUCGAGCGGCGGACGGGUGAGUAAUACUUAGGAAUCUACCUAGUAGUGGGGGAUAGCUCGGGGAAACUCGAAUUAAUACCGCAUACGACCUACGGGAGAAAGGGGGCAGUUUACUGCUCUCGCUAUUAGAUGAGCCUAAGUCGGAUUAGCUAGAUGGUGGGGUAAAGGCCUACCAUGGCGACGAUCUGUAGCUGGUCUGAGAGGAUGAUCAGCCACACCGGGACUGAGACACGGCCCGGACUCCUACGGGAGGCAGCAGUGGGGAAUAUUGGACAAUGGGGGAAACCCUGAUCCAGCCAUGCCGCGUGUGUGAAGAAGGCCUUUUGGUUGUAAAGCACUUUAAGCAGUGAAGAAGACUCCGUGGUUAAUACCCACGGACGAUGACAUUAGCUGCAGAAUAAGCACCGGCUAACUCUGUGCCAGCAGCCGCGGUAAUACAGAGGGUGCAAGCGUUAAUCGGAAUUACUGGGCGUAAAGGGAGCGUAGGUGGCUCGAUAAGUCAGAUGUGAAAUCCCCGGGCUCAACCUGGGAACUGCAUCUGAUACUGUUGAGCUAGAGUAUGUGAGAGGAAGGUAGAAUUCCAGGUGUAGCGGUGAAAUGCGUAGAGAUCUGGAGGAAUACCGAUGGCGAAGGCAGCCUUCUGGCAUAAUACUGACACUGAGGCUCGAAAGCGUGGGUAGCAAACAGGAUUAGAUACCCUGGUAGUCCACGCCGUAAACGAUGUCUACUAGUCGUUGGGUCCCUUGAGGACUUAGUGACGCAGCUAACGCAAUAAGUAGACCGCCUGGGGAGUACGGCCGCAAGGUUAAAACUCAAAUGAAUUGACGGGGGCCCGCACAAGCGGUGGAGCAUGUGGUUUAAUUCGAUGCAACGCGAAGAACCUUACCUGGUCUUGACAUAUCU
Molecule: ribosomal RNA, 921 nt
Filed under: Psychrobacter sp. A10
Lineage: Bacteria; Pseudomonadati; Pseudomonadota; Gammaproteobacteria; Moraxellales; Moraxellaceae
Description: bacterial SSU rRNA
Rfam family: Bacterial small subunit ribosomal RNA
Source: RNAcentral